GAUGAACGCUGGCGGCGUGCCUAAUACAUGCAAGUCGAGCGAACAGAUGAGGAGCUUGCUCCACUGACGUUAGCGGCGGACGGGUGAGUAACACGUGGAUAACCUACCUAUAAGGCUGGGAUAACUUCGGGAAACCGGAGCUAAUACCGGAUAAUAUAUUGAACCGCAUGGUUCAAUAGUGAAAGACGGUUUUGCUGUCACUUAUAGAUGGAUCCGCGCCGCAUUAGCUAGUUGGUAAGGUAACGGCUUACCAAGGCAACGAUGCGUAGCCGACCUGAGAGGGUGAUCGGCCACACUGGAACUGAGACACGGUCCAGACUCCUACGGGAGGCAGCAGUAGGGAAUCUUCCGCAAUGGGCGAAAGCCUGACGGAGCAACGCCGCGUGAGUGAUGAAGGUCUUCGGAUCGUAAAACUCUGUUAUUAGGGAAGAACAAAUGUGUAAGUAACUAUGCACGUCUUGACGGUACCUAAUCAGAAAGCCACGGCUAACUACGUG
This 497-nucleotide ribosomal RNA is filed under the name uncultured bacterium. RNAcentral's name for it is "partial 16S ribosomal RNA". It matches the Rfam family "Bacterial small subunit ribosomal RNA", at positions 28 to 507 of the family's 1533-position model. The record is from RNAcentral.